Molecule: long non-coding RNA, 760 nt
Filed under: Rattus norvegicus (Norway rat)
Lineage: Eukaryota; Metazoa; Chordata; Mammalia; Rodentia; Muridae
Description: long non-coding RNA NONRATT014482
Source: RNAcentral
GCCUAGAAGUCUUCACAUCCGGAAACUGGGUCUCUGGCCAAGGAAAGACCUGGGUCAGGUUACGCAAGAUAACGAAAAUAUUAGCAUCUUAGCCUUUAGUCUUGGGGACCAAGCCCUAAGGACGAUAGCCUCCUGUCCAAGUCGGACUCGAAAUUUCUAUUUGAUGUCUCCCUGCUCCAGGAGCCACUCGUUUGUGGCCAAAGAGGAGGCAAGGACCUGGGUUUGUGCUCCUUUGAGACAGAGAAUGAACUGAACAUACUGUGGCAAGUUCCUUUACCUGAUUACAUCUCAGCACUGCUCUGAGCUGAGAUGGGGACAGAGCCUCCAGAACUCCUGUGAGAAGCUCGGCCAUGACAGCAGUCGGGCUAUGGGAAGGUGUUACCUAGGAUGCCAGCUGGCUACAUGGUCCCCAGAGGUUUACAGUGAUGCUGCCAUGUUCUUCCAGGCCAGAGGAAGAAAGCUUGGCUAACUCACCACAUUUCCAAACAACCCUGGAGUGUUGAGAUAUCUUCUCUCUGAUGGGAAGCAGGCCUGGUUCUUUGGGAAUAAGGGCAGUUAGAAUGGUGCCAUUCCUUUCUAUUUCACUUUCCUAACAUUAUUGAGGGCCAUGAAGUUCCUUUCUGAGUCACAACACCUAAACAUAUGGACGACUUGAGGCUUUUAGACAGACAUUAAGAAAUGACAAAUCUGUAUGCUCCACAUGUUCCUGCUGCUGGAGGCUUGUUUUUAAAUUAUAUGUACAGAAAUUUACAGGAUAAAU